GAUGAACGCUAGCGGCAGGCCUAAUACAUGCAAGUCGAGGGGCAGCGCGGUAGCAAUACUGGCGGCGACCGGCGCACGGGUGCGUAACACGUAUGCAACCUACCUUCAACUGGAGGAUAGCCCGGGGAAACUCGGAUUAAUACUCCAUAACACAGGGAUCCCGCAUGGGAAUAUUGUAAAGCUACGGCGGUUGAAGAUGGGCAUGCGUUCGAUUAGCUAGUUGGUGUAGGUAACGGCUCACCAAGGCUACGAUCGAUAGGGGGUCUGAGAGGAUGAUCCCCCACACUGGUACUGAGAUACGGACCAGACUCCUACGGGA
This 319-nucleotide ribosomal RNA is filed under the name uncultured bacterium. Its description in RNAcentral is "bacterial SSU rRNA". It matches the Rfam family "Bacterial small subunit ribosomal RNA", at positions 28 to 346 of the family's 1533-position model. The record is from RNAcentral.